AGAACGUUCUCCACUUUCUAACCUCAUUUAAGGGCUGUCAGCAACAAAGAAAGCAUUACCCCUCAUAGAUUGCCUCCCCUAAAUGCUCAGUAGUCUGAAACUGGUUAAAGAAGAUAUAUCUGGUAUUAUGUAUCUUAACAUUUGAUGAGCUAUCCAGAAGAACCUACCAAAGAACACAGAUUGGUUUUAAGAAGACAUGUAUUUGUAGCUAAUGCUCCACUAUCGCUAUGGAAAAAGCCAAGUACUACAUGGAUGGAACCUCUGAAAAUAGCGUUUGGGAGACACUGUGUUUGUUUUGUGUGUGUAAUUUAUAAUACUUGAUUUUAAGCUAUUGAGUUAUUUCUGUUACAGUGACAGACAACAUGUCAUUGGAUAAAUCUGAUGUUACCUUAUUCUCUCCUGUUAGACUUAACCAAAGCAAAUCAUAUAUUUUCUUUUUAUACUGUAACUUUCCUAUCUUUUCUACAAAGUAUCAUAAAUUCUGUAUAUAACAGCUUUAUACUUAAUUACCAAUCAAUCUGAUUAUGAAAACAAGCUCUAAUCUCUUCCUUUGAUUUUUAAGUUAAAUAAAACUACACAGCAGCCAGACAGCUUCAUUUGCCUAGUGCACGGAGUAAACAACCACUGAGUUACAUCAGAAUUCAAGUUUUGUGGCUUGAACUCAGAAGUACUCAGAAUGUGUCAGUUAAAAAUAUUUUUAUAUAUAAUUAUAUGUAUUUAGUGCUUGCUAUAUGGAUGAGGUACAAAUGAAGAUUUUGUUUUGACGAAACAUUUAAAGAAGUAACAACCCUGUGACACAUUUAUGUAAAUGUUCCGAAAAAUUCCCUCGAAUCUGCUUUAAAUAUGCAUAUGACUUUAAAGGUUCAUUUUAUGGUAAAAUCAUUUUAAAAAAAUAAAUAUUACUGUAAUUUUCACUUUGGGAAGGAAAUAAAUCUGUUAAAAGAAAAUGACUUGUUAAUGUCAGUUGGGGAAAAAAGUGAACAACUCUAAACUGGAGAAUGAUGGACUCAUCACAGUUUCUCUGUACCACUGAUUUAUUUUGUAUUUAAUAAAGGAAAUAUAUUAUUGUGCACUGGGAGAAUAUAUCAUUCUUCUU
Non-coding RNA from Meleagris gallopavo (turkey), 1096 nucleotides. The record is from RefSeq and is a predicted model, not a curated record. NCBI's taxonomy places the organism in Eukaryota, Metazoa, Chordata, Aves, Galliformes, Phasianidae.